CAAUUGGUCAAGGGACGUCAUCCAGCGGGCAUGCAGCGUUUCGGAUCACGCGCAUGCGCGUGCCGUGAAGGAUGUUCGGAAAAAAAUAUUCGUCUAUCACAUUGUUAGGCGAACCGGAUAGAAAAUGAGAGACAGAGCAAUCAGUCCUGAACCUUCCAAAAUCACUGCACCUCCUUGACCUUCUUGAACUGCUGCAGUCUGUGCGGUGAAGUUGCUCCCAGAUUGCUGUUCCAUAAGGAGUUACAGGAUUUUCAUCCAGUGGUGACAAGGGCAACCAGAACUGGACACAGUAUUUCAGAAGAGGCCUCAACGAUGUCCUGUAUGACCUCAACAUGAUGUCCCAACUCCUGUAAACAAAGGUCUGAGCAAUUAA
This is a long non-coding RNA of Rhincodon typus (whale shark), 373 nucleotides long. RefSeq lists it as uncharacterized. NCBI's taxonomy places the organism in Eukaryota, Metazoa, Chordata, Chondrichthyes, Orectolobiformes, Rhincodontidae. The transcript is spliced from 3 exons. The record is from RefSeq and is a predicted model, not a curated record.